GCCUGGGUGGCGGAACAGGUAGACGCAAGGGACUUAAAAUCCCUUGAUCCUAAGUUGGUCGUGCGAGUUCGAUUCUCGCCCCAGGCACCA
This 90-nucleotide transfer RNA is filed under the name Desulfobacteraceae bacterium 4572_88. RNAcentral's name for it is "tRNA-Leu". It matches the Rfam family "tRNA". Rfam says of the family: Transfer RNA (tRNA) molecules are approximately 80 nucleotides in length. Their secondary structure includes four short double-helical elements and three loops (D, anti-codon, and T loops). Lineage: Bacteria; Pseudomonadati; Thermodesulfobacteriota; Desulfobacteria; Desulfobacterales; Desulfobacteraceae. The record is from RNAcentral.